AUCCACUGUCACCACUCGGAGCCU
RNAcentral lists this non-coding RNA (24 nucleotides) under Arabidopsis thaliana (thale cress). The record is from RNAcentral. Lineage: Eukaryota; Viridiplantae; Streptophyta; Magnoliopsida; Brassicales; Brassicaceae.